ACAAUCUCAUGAUCCUUGUAUUCACUUCAGUAGGAAUGAUAGAGGGAAGAUUAGAAUGGCCCCUGCCCAUGGAUCACACAAACUUCUGAGCCAUUAUAACCCCUUUA
Erinaceus europaeus (western European hedgehog) is the source of this 107-nucleotide non-coding RNA. The record is from Rfam. Lineage: Eukaryota; Metazoa; Chordata; Mammalia; Eulipotyphla; Erinaceidae.